GACGAACGCUGGCGGCGUGCUUCAUACAUGCAAGUCGAACGAGAAGCUGACUUCGGUCAGUGGAAAGUGGCUGACGGGUGAGUAAUAUGUAGGAAAUCUGCCUUUAGGAGGGGGACAACAGAGGGAAACUUCUGCUAAUACCCCAUAUGAGCGUAGCUGAAAUGCUAUUCUUGAAAACUCCGGUGCCUAAAGAUGAGCCUGCAUCUGAUUAGCUAGUUGGUAGUGUAAUGGACUACCAAGGCGACGAUCAGUAGCUGGAUUGAGAGAAUGAUCAGCCACAAUGGGACUGAGACACGGCCCAUCCUCCUACGGGAGGAAGCAGUAGGGAAUUUUGCGGAAUGGGCGCAAGACUGACGAAGCAACGCCGCGUGAACGAUUAAGCCCUUCGGGGUGUAAAGUUCUGUCAGUGGGGACGAAACUUGACGGUACCCACAGAGGAAGCACCGGCUAACUCCGUG
This 458-nucleotide ribosomal RNA is filed under the name uncultured bacterium. RNAcentral describes it as "partial 16S ribosomal RNA". It matches the Rfam family "Bacterial small subunit ribosomal RNA", at positions 28 to 507 of the family's 1533-position model. The record is from RNAcentral.